RNAcentral lists this ribosomal RNA (500 nucleotides) under uncultured bacterium. RNAcentral describes it as "partial 16S ribosomal RNA". It matches the Rfam family "Bacterial small subunit ribosomal RNA", at positions 30 to 523 of the family's 1533-position model. The record is from RNAcentral.
AUUGAACGCUGGCGGAAUGCUUUACACAUGCAAGUCGAACGGCAGCACGGACUUCGGUCUGGUGGCGAGUGGCGAACGGGUGAGUAAUAUAUCGGAACGUGUCCAGUCGUGGGGGAUAACGUAGCGAAAAUUACGCUAAUACCGCAUACGAUCUAUGGAUGAAAGCGGGGGAUCGCAAGACCUCGCGCGAUUGGAGCGGCCGAUAUCAGAUUAGGUAGUUGGUGAGGUAAAGGCUCACCAAGCCAACGACCUGUAGCUGGACUGAGAGGACGACCAGCCACACUGGAACUGAGACACGGUCCAGACUCCUACGGAAGGCAGCAGUGGGGAAUUUUGGACAAUGGACGCAAGUCUGAUCCAGCCAUUCCGCGUGCAGGACGAAGGCCUUCGGGUUGUAAACUGCUUUUGUACGGAACGAAAAGGUCUCUAUUAAUACUAGGGGCUCAUGACGGUACCGUAAGAAUAAGCACCGGCUAACUACGUGCCAGCAGCCGCCGUAA